RNAcentral lists this ribosomal RNA (358 nucleotides) under uncultured bacterium. RNAcentral describes it as "partial 16S ribosomal RNA". It matches the Rfam family "Bacterial small subunit ribosomal RNA", at positions 338 to 693 of the family's 1533-position model. The record is from RNAcentral.
CCUACGGGGGGCAGCAGUGAGGAAUAUUGGUCAAUGGACGAGAGUCUGAACCAGCCAAGUAGCGUGAAGGAUGACUGCCAUAUGGGUUGUAAACUUCUUUUAUAUGGGAAUAAAAUGUUCCACGUGUGGGAUUUUGUAUGUACCAUAUGAAUAAGGAUCGGCUAACUCCGUGCCAGCAGCCGCGGUAAUACGGAGGAUCCGAGCGUUAUCCGGAUUUAUUGGGUUUAAAGGGAGCGUAGGUGGAUUGUUAAGUCAGUUGUGAAAGUUUGCGGCUCAACCGUAAAAUUGCAGUUGAAACUGGGAGUAGGGAGUAAAGUAGGGGUGGGAGGAAUUCGUGGGUUAGGGGGGAAAGGCUGAG